This 253-nucleotide ribosomal RNA is filed under the name uncultured bacterium. RNAcentral describes it as "partial 16S ribosomal RNA". It matches the Rfam family "Bacterial small subunit ribosomal RNA", at positions 524 to 776 of the family's 1533-position model. The record is from RNAcentral.
GACGAACCGAGCGAACGUUGUUCGGAAUCACUGGGCUUAAAGGGCGCGUAGGCGGGCUGUCAAGUCUGGGGUGAAAUCCCGCGGCUCAACCGUGGAACUGCCUUAGAUACUGACGGCCUCGAGGGAGAUAGGGGCGAGCGGAACUGUGAGUGGAGCGGUGAAAUGCGUUGAUAUUCACAGGAACUCCGGUGGCGAAGGCGGCUCGCUGGAUCUCUUCUGACGCUGAGGCGCGAAAGCUAGGGGAGCCAACGGG